UUAAUUGAAACCAAAUAAGAGGUAAAUUAUUGUUAAUAAUUUCAUUGAAUAAAUAAAAUUCCAAUUAAG
This 69-nucleotide transfer RNA is filed under the name Trachelus tabidus. RNAcentral's name for it is "tRNA-Asn". Lineage: Eukaryota; Metazoa; Arthropoda; Insecta; Hymenoptera; Cephidae. The record is from RNAcentral.